This 331-nucleotide ribosomal RNA is filed under the name uncultured Chlorobiota bacterium. RNAcentral describes it as "bacterial SSU rRNA". It matches the Rfam family "Bacterial small subunit ribosomal RNA", at positions 28 to 351 of the family's 1533-position model. The record is from RNAcentral. Lineage: Bacteria; Pseudomonadati; Chlorobiota.
GACGAACGCUGGCGGCGUGCUUAACACAUGCAAGUCUACGAGAAAGAGGUAGCAAUAUCUUGAUUAAAGUGGCGCACGGGUGAGUAACACGUAAGCAAUCUACCCAAUGAUUUGGAAUAACCCCGCGAAAGCGGGAUUAAUACCGUAUGAUGCAGCGGCAUCGCAUGAUGAUGUUGUUAAAGUUGCAGCAAUGUAACGUCAAUGGAUGAGCUUGCGGCUGAUUAGCUAGUUGGUAGGUAACGGCCUACCAAGGCAACGAUCAGUAGCUGGUCUGAGAGGAUGAUCAGCCACACUGGAACUGAGACACGGUCCAGACUCCUACGGGUGGCAG